AGUCUGCCAGAUUGGCAAUUUGAAACGCACUGUCUGUGACGGCUGCUGAGGCUGCUGCGGGGGAGUGAAGGGCUGUCAUGACGAUGACCCCUGGAGGAAACUCUGAUGCCUUUAUCUAAAACCAUCACUAGCCUUACAGACAUCUGGAUUCCUCUCAACCACCGGAAGGUUGUUUUUGCCUCACCGAAGAAGUAUUCCUCAGAAGCAAAUGGAGACCAUCACAGAAAACUACAACAGGACACAGUGUAGAAAUCAAUGGCUCAUUGGGAACCCAGACACCAUGGAUAUACCUACAUCAGAGCCCCUGUAUCUGUGGCUCAGAAAACGUCAAGGAAGAGAGGGAAGAAUAAUUAUAAGUACCAGAAUAGCGAGAAGUCUGCUGUGAAACAGUCUGUCUUAGAAAUGGCUGCAAAAACACCAACAGAACAAUGGUAAUGUCAGUAGACAUGCUAACAAGAAAGAGGGAAGUCUUGUGGUGUUCCACCACUUGGCAAAGAACUUCAAGCAGCUACUGACUGCAAGAGGGGAAUUAGCCUACCGGGGAUGAAUCACAACACACUUGUUCAGUGCAGAGUGGUCAGCCUUGAAGCCAUAUACACAUAAACAACAGAAAAGACCAAGCAGACUCUAUUUAUAAACUUAUGCAUAGACAUAAAGACAUAUAUGUAACAACUCUAACGAUACUUUAAAAAGAGUCUGUUAACUUGAAACUGUAAGGGGGUGCUGAGAGGGCCUAGGAAAAAAGAGAAAGGGAAAGUCAUAAAAUUCUAUCUUGGUUAAACUUGUAUUUUAAAAUUAACUAUCUAUAUAAUGUAUAUUUAAUAAUUUUUGUUUUUCUGUAUAUUUCUAGCUGUCUUACUUUUUGUGUUAAUGGUGUAUAACUGAGAAAGUAUUCAUUCAGAGAGUAUGUAUAUUUCAGUAUAUGUAUGCACUGUUAAAUAAUUAUCACAAUUAAAUUAACACAGUACCUCAUACCAUUUUUUAUGUUUUAGACUAUGUAUGUAUAUUUCUACAUCCCAGCUUCUUAGUAUGUUAAAGUACACAUUAUUAUAACCUGCAGUUAUAAUACUAUACGAUAAACAUAUAUGACUCAUUCAUUCUAUUUGGAAAAAUACGUUUUUUGUAUUAGAGAUAUAUGUAGAUAGAUAGAUAGAUAGAUAGAUAGAUAGAUAGAUAGAUAGAUAGAUAGAUAGAUAGAUAGAUUGAUAGAUUGAUAGAUAGAUGUAGAUAGACAGACAGACAGACGGAUGGAUGGAUGGAUGGAUGGAUGGAUGGAUGGAUGGAUGGACAGAUAGGCAGGCUUAUUUAUUUAUUCAUUGUGCUCAUUCUAGCUACUCUUCUGGUCAUAGGUCUCUUUAAGAACUUUAUUUAUUCAACUCAAAUAUGGAAAGGCAAUCCUUAAGAGAAAUAAUGGAAAUCAGCCUCUUGAGAUGAGAAAAUUCUUUUUCAAGAUAUUGUCAAAAGAUUGUUUGUGUGUUUACAGAAUAAUUCAAUAGAAUUCAACAGCUUCUGUGAGUGAUUUCACUUUUGUCUAACUUUUAAAUGCACAGUCUACAUACACAGUUUUGUUGUUAGCUUGGUUGGACUGAGAGAUACAUAGAUUAUUAAGGCAUCCCCUGGGGGUCUGGAAGAAGGGGGGCUUCCAGAGAGUCGACUACAUCAUGAUGAGUCUGACCUAAUCAAUGGCUUUUAUUUCAUUUUCAAUCCUGCUUUAUGGUAUAUGAAAGGAUGGGAGAUAUCUUAGGUGGAGUUAACUUCAGUACCUCACUAAGACAGUAUCAUAGCAGUGUCUCAUUAUCUUAUAAUUCAUUCAGAAUUCUUUCGGAAGUAUUCACUUUCCUGUUGAUCUCUCUGUCUGGCUUCUGUUCCUUGUGUACUACUCCAGAUAAUAAUAUUUUGUGAUAUUUUUAUGUUGUAGACAUCUUCUUCCAUUUGUCACCCUCAAUUAAGUUUGUCUUUUCUGCCUUGAGUGAAAAAUCUUCAGUUAUGAUAUAGCUGAAUGUCUCAUCCAAUCUUGAACAUAGCUGGCUGUUUUAUUUCACAGUAUUUUGUAAUAUUUAUCAGGCCUGAUUGUUUUGUACAUAAAGGUCUCAGGUGUUCUUUAUUAAUUCUUGAGUCGUGUCAUUGUUGGCUGUGACAGAUCUCAUAUUUCCCACUUCGUACUCCAGCUGGUUGCUGGGAGACAUAGAAUGAUAUUUAGUUUUUAUAAAUUUAUUUUAUAUACAAAAAACUUUAUUUUUUCAUGUUUGUGGAAUUUGGUAAUAAAAUUCAAGUUAUCAUUGUUUUUGUUAUGUUCCUUUGCUACCUAAGCAUAAAUUGUUUUCCUUUGAUUAAUUAAUAUUUUAAACUUUCCUGAUAGCUGUUCUGAUGUUUGCUUCUCCUUAUGCUUCGGACACAGACUCCUCUUGAUGACAUUAAAAUGCACUUGAUUUCUGUGAAUGGCUAACUUCUUUGUACUUUUGCAACAAGGCUCACCAUCGAAGGCCCUCCCACCAUCCUUUUCCUUAUAUCCAUCCAACUGGGGAAUCAAAUCUAUACCUGCUUUCAGGUAUAAGCUAAUUAAAUUUGUCUCUUUUUCCACUUCACAGAAAAACUUUACAAAAAUGAAAGGCGAUGGUAAUGUUUGCCAUGGAACUUGGAAGGAUUCUCUGAAGCCUUUACUUGAUGGGGGAUGGGUCUGGCUGAGAUUCAAUUUGAUAACCAUUUCACAAUCACACUUUUCUCCCCUCUGCACUCAUCCAACCCUGCAGAGUCUGCUUUUCCUGCAUGUUUUAAAAUAUUGCUUAUAGCUGUUAAUUUUUCUGUAUUAGCUUGUUAAACUAUGACAUCUUUCUUUCUCUUUUCUACAUUUUACUUCUAACUUCCCUUAUUUCUUUGCUCAAAUUUUCCAGAUAUUUUACAUUUCUUUUUGGUUUGUUGUUUUGGAAACCCAAAUUUGUUUUCAGUCCAUGUUUUCUAAUUUUCACUUCUUCCUUGUGGUUUAGGUUUACGUUGUAUCUUUGCCCUCUCUCAAGCUAAUGUGCAAAUCUCACCUCUCAGGUGCUCACACUGUCCUUGUAAGUGUAUAGAAGCCAUCAGUAUUUCUCAAACUAUCCCUGUCUUUACCCAAUGAAUUUGAUAAGUUGAAUUUCGAGGUCAUUUAUGUCUAUGUAACUACCUUAUAAUACUGUAUAUUUAUUAGCAUCUACAGAAAAGAUCCAAGCUACCAUCUGAUAGUCUACUUUUAAAUUUAUGUAGUCAUGGCAGCCACUUUAACCUGUAUAAUACAGUGCUACUGGACAUCCCUGAGAACCUGUGUAGCUAAGUAUGUGAUUAAUUUCUGUGAAUGUUCUGUUUGCUUGAAAAUAAUGCAUUUUUCUCUUCUUUGGUUCUAUUUUCUCUGUCUGAGUUUAGUCUCUUCCGCACCCAUAAGCCAUAAAUUUGCUUCAGAUGGAGCAACUAAGGUAUGUAAGACUUAUUGAUCACAAAAUGAGAACAGAGAAAAGAGAUAUGGCUUAGCUUGUGAACUGGCUACAGAGGUGGGACAUUCAGAAAGGUUUUCUCUAUAGGAGCUGGUCAAUGAUUGGCUGGCAUGAAGCUUGCAUGAGCUGCCAAAAGAGAAGGGAGCACCCAACCCUCUUUUCAGACUCCCUGAUAUGCACAAAAGGAAAUAGGGGAGUGGUUCAGAAUAAAGGGUAUCAGAAGCCAAGCACCAAAACUGUCUAGGACUCUGCCUGAAUGCACACUGAUUUUAGAUGUCCAGUUCUGUUAUUUUUCAUCUUCUAAAUAUCGACUUAUUUUGUAUUUGCUAGACCUAUCAGUUUCUCUGCUGUAUAAAAAGUGCCAGGGACAAGGUUUUGUUUAUCCACUCCUGACCAUUUGUACAUACUAAUGUUUUAUAAAAUUUCAAGUUCUUUGUAUUGGAAAUAUAUGUUGUUGGGUACAUAAAUGUCAAGGCACUAAUUGUUUUUGAUUCUGCAUUUUAUCAAUAUUCAGUACUUUUGUUUGCCUUAAGUUUUCUUUUGCCUAAUAAUGGAAUUUGCUCUCCUAUGUGCUUUGAAUGUUUUCUUAGUAUUUAAAAACUUCUCUAUAAUUUUAUGUCUUAUGAUUGUUAUUUUGAUUAUAUUUUACUGAAUAUGGGAAUUUUUUGAUUUGUUAAAUGUUUUUUUAUAGUUACUGGAUAUUAAAUUUAUAUUGUAGCUCC
RNAcentral lists this long non-coding RNA (4183 nucleotides) under Mus musculus (house mouse). RNAcentral's name for it is "predicted gene, 26691". The record is from RNAcentral. Lineage: Eukaryota; Metazoa; Chordata; Mammalia; Rodentia; Muridae.